GAUGAACGCUGGCGGCGUGCUUAACACAUGCAAGUCGAGCGGGCAAUUUAUCUAGCACUGAUUACUUCAAAUGGAAAUCAUAAGUGUAAUCAUGAAUUUCUACCUUUAAUAAAGAAAAAGAAAUUCAUGUACGCAAAUAGUAGAUAACACAUUUUAGUGAAGUGAUGAGUGCUGGAUAAAUUGCUAGCGGCGGACGGGUGCGUAACACGUGGGUAACCUGCCCCUAUCACUGGGAUAACACACUGAAAAGUGUGCUAAUACCAGAUAAUAUAAGCUUUUGGCAUCAUUAGCUUAUCAAAGAAUUUCGGAUAGGGAUGGGCCCGCGUCUGAUUAGCUAGUUGGUGAGGUAACGGCUCACCAAGGCAACGAUCAGUAGCCGACCUGAGAGGGUGAUCGGCCACACUGGAACUGAGACACGGUCCAG
RNAcentral lists this ribosomal RNA (424 nucleotides) under uncultured bacterium. Its description in RNAcentral is "bacterial SSU rRNA". It matches the Rfam family "Bacterial small subunit ribosomal RNA", at positions 28 to 334 of the family's 1533-position model. The record is from RNAcentral.